ACAGUCAUAAGCAAGUGGCAUGAGUGUAUUUAGAGGCUGCUGCAGGAUCAAGCUCUCUCCAACAAGUAACAAGCGAAGCAAUCGUGAUAUACAGAAACAGUGGUGAGACCAUUUGUUGGUCGGAGCAAGCAAUGGGUGGUAAGUGUACUUCUAUAUGAAUGCACAGUGCUUGCCCUACUCUUUCAGCUAUAGCAUCCGGGUUUGGAUCAUUUUAUUCAUGGUAUAAUUACAAAGUAAUGUUCUUUUGUCAGAUUUAAUGUUAUAUUACCAGAUGGUGAAUCUUGUACCAUUUGUUGGUAAAAAUAUGAAACCGAUCUUCCCUGUAUAUGAUGAACUGUUCCAUGGAUGAAAAUAAUGUUGAAUUGACAUGUUUGUGAAAAAGUCUUGACCGCAUGUGCUUUUCAUUGCAGCCAUCGACUGGGCGGGUUGAUGAAGAGUUUGCAGAAAUAGUCAUAGAGAAGUGGCGUGAGGCUGGGGCUUCCCUAUUUGGAGGCUGCUGCAGGACAACUCCAAAUACCAUAAGGGCAAUAUCAAAGGCUCUUUCUAACAAGUCUUCUGCAGUUAACGAUGCUUAGUUGAGUUCUAAAAAUGAGAUGUAAAUACUUGUAACCGAUGCUAAGACUAAGGGCAUGUGUCUUUUUGAUUUCCUUGUUUUGUAACUCUAAGGAAGUAGCAAAUUACUAUCACCAUGGUGCUGCUGCUGUAUGGUGACUGGUGAGGUUGUUUCACAUCGAAUAACAGUGUUUUUGUUACCUUGUGAAGUUAAAUUUCGUUAGCAUUCCGUAGUGUGUCCUUGAGAUUGCCAUACGAUUUUAAAUGCAAUCUCCUCCAUAGAACAUACAUGGAACCCAAACAAAGUAUACGCAGUUUCUAGAUAAUUUCCUCGUCUUCUAAGUCAUCACCCUCUCAAAAAAGAAGAAGAAAAAGAAACAACCCUCUCAAAAAAGAAGAAGAAAAAGAAACAAUUCAAGUCUUCCAAGUCAUCACCUCUGAAAAAAGAAAAAGAAAAAGAAACAGUCUUCCUAGAAAAUUUUCGUCCAAGUCUAAAAAGAAAAAG
Rosa rugosa (rugosa rose) is the source of this 1057-nucleotide long non-coding RNA. RefSeq lists it as uncharacterized. Lineage: Eukaryota; Viridiplantae; Streptophyta; Magnoliopsida; Rosales; Rosaceae. The transcript is spliced from 2 exons. The record is from RefSeq and is a predicted model, not a curated record.